RNAcentral lists this ribosomal RNA (468 nucleotides) under uncultured bacterium. RNAcentral's name for it is "partial 16S ribosomal RNA". It matches the Rfam family "Bacterial small subunit ribosomal RNA", at positions 28 to 507 of the family's 1533-position model. The record is from RNAcentral.
GACGAACGCUGGCGGCGUGCUUAACACAUGCAAGUCGAACGGAAAGGCCCUGCUUUUGCGGGGUGCUCGAGUGGCGAACGGGUGAGUAACACGUGAGUAACCCGCCCUUGACUUUGGGAUAACUCCAGGAAACUGGGGCUAUUACCGGAUAGGAUCUCUUGCUCCACGGGGGGGGUUGGAAAGUUUCGGCGGUAGGGGAUGGAUUCGCGGCUUACGAGCUGGUUGGGGGGGUAGUGGAUGACAAAGGCUUCGACGGGUAGCCGGCCUGAGAGGGGAGACGGGGACAAGGGGACUAAGGGAGGGAGCAGAAUCGAACGGGCGGCAGCGGUGGAAAACAUGGCGGAGUAGGGGGGAGUCAGAUACGAAAACGCCGCGUGCGGAAUGACGGCCUUCGAGUGGUAAACCGAUUUGGACUGUGACGAAGCGUGAGUGACGGUAAUGGAUAAAGAAGCACCGGCUAACUACGUG